Molecule: long non-coding RNA, 6841 nt
Filed under: Homo sapiens (human)
Lineage: Eukaryota; Metazoa; Chordata; Mammalia; Primates; Hominidae
Description: non-protein coding lnc-ATRIP-24:2
Source: RNAcentral
AUCUUUAUUGAGGACGUGAGCGUUGCUCCUGGUGCUGAACAGAGCGCGAAGGUUCGCCGUCGUUGGGUCCGCCCUCCCCACUUUCGGUCGCCGCCUUCACCCACCUCCCUCCUUCUAGGGCGCUGUCCCAGCUCCGUCUCCCAGCCUUUUUCUGUCCUUCCAGAUCUCUUGUUCCCCCUUCCUGACCACUAGUUCUGAACCGUGUCCCGGAUUUUGGUCUGAAAUUUUGGUGCCCAUGAGCGUUCUCAUAGCUCUGGGAGGGGGUACUGUGUGAAAUCCUGGGGUAGAGGGGACGAUGGCUGGAGAGGGGUCUGGGGUGCCAGCACCCCGAACAAUAGCUUUAACUAUCCCAUCAGCUAGUUUUAUGAAACAUGUCGCGACCACCUGCUUGUUUGGAUCGCCCCUGCGGAGCAGGGACCAGAGAUGACCCUCCCGAGGCGGGAGCAGAGGCCAAAUUCUUCCCUGCCUUGCUGGUCCCCAGCAGUCUCCCGGGCUCGGGGCCCCUUCACUGGAGGCUGCACCCCCUCCCAGGCUGCGAGUCCCGAGUGCUCUGGGAUGCCACGUGGAGCCCGGCGUUGCCCCAUGGCUGCGGGCCCCGCUUCUUCGGGUCCCCGCCCCUCGUCCGUCACGACCGCAUGCCUUAACCCCUUGAAGGGACUGACACAGAAACUCAGUCCUCCCCCCACCCUCGGUGCAUUCCAGCUCUCCCUGCGUAACUCCUGGCACGCGCCGGUCUCGCCAGGCCAAUGGGUGGACCUGGCGCAACAGACGUCACGAGAGGAGCGGAGGCGAGGGGUGAACGCGGAGCACUCCAAUCGGUCAGUCAUUGUUUCUAUUGGCACAAUGGGAGGCCCCGCCCCUCACGGCGGACUCAUCGCAUGGGGGAGGGGGCUCCGCGGGUUGCCGGCUAACCGUGAGAGAGUCCGGGAGGUACACUAUACGGACCGGCCUCCAAAGGCGGAAUCGAUAACGAGCUGCAGCGCCGGGUGCAGAGGACGCGGGCAUCCCGAAGCCCAGGAAGAGGUCAGGGCCGGGACCCCAGAACGCUCCACAGGGUGCGGCUCCCGCGAUGGGGUGGAUCCUGGUUCUAACAGGCGAGGAACUCCUGGCCAAGGCCUCUGGCCCGCCCCGAACGGUCCCUAUGACAUCACCAUCAACCAAUCAGUCGGCGCAUCCUUUCGCCCCUUGACUGCUCCGCUUCCGGGAGGCGGGGCUUCUGCGGGUUCCACCUCCCGAGCGCCCCUUGUGGCUACCAAGGUCAGGCAACAGGUGUCCAGUUGUUCCCUCUCCUGUCUACGAAUCUGAGGACCUCCCCAGGAUCAGAGCUCUGGGCCUGAUACACGGCCGGGGUUCCUACGGGUUUGUGAGUGGGGGUGGAAGAUCUGCAGAGGCACUUAGGGCUGAACUCCUUUGAAUGGGAGCCAAUCGGUGCAGGGGCUGGAGGAGCGAGUCCCCCAAAGUAGUUUUAUUUAUCUAUUUAGAGACAAGGUCUCACUCUUUCGGAGUGCAGUGGUGAUCACAGCUCACCGUAGCCUCGAACUCCCCAGGCGAUUCUCUCACCUCAGCCUCCCGAGUAGCUGGGACUACGGGUACAUGUCAUCACACUUGGCUAAUUUUUGCAUUUUUUAUAGAGACAGGGUCUCACCAUGUAGGCCAGAUUAGUCUUGAACUCCUGGGCUCAAGCAAUCCGCCCAUCUUGGCCUCCCAAAGUGCUGGGAUUAUAGGUGUGAGCCACCGCGCCCGGCAACCCAGAAGUGGUUUUGACAGCACCAGCGCUUUCUGUGUCCACAAUCUAAUGUUGGCCAGGCUGGUAUCAAACUCCUGACCUCUAGUGAUCUGCCCGCCUCAGCCUCCCAAAGUGCUGGGAUUACCGGCAUGAGGCACCGUGCCCAGCCUAUCCUCCUUCUCUUAUCAGCUCCCAACUAGAGGUCCACCCAGGACCCAGAGACCUGGAUUUGAGGCUGCUGGGCGGCAGAUGGAGCGAUCAGAAGACCAGGAGACGGGAGCUGGAGUGCAGUGGCUGUUCACAAGCGUGAAAGCAAAGAUUAAAAAAUUUGUUUUUAUAUUAAAAAAGUUUUUAGAGAUGGGGGUCUCACUUUGUGGCCCAGCCUGCAGUGCAGUGGCGCGAUCAUAGCUCCCUGCUGCCUCGACUUCCUAGGCUCAAGGGACCCUCCUGUCUUGGCCUCUGAGUAGCUGAGACUACAGGUAUGCUCCACCACACCCGGCUAAUUUCUUUACUUUUUUGUAGGGACAGGGUCUCAUCAUUUUGCCCAGGCUGGUCUGGAACUCUUGAGCUCAAGUGAUCCUCCUGCCUUGGCCUCCCAAAGUGCUGGGAUUACAGGCAUGAGCCACCACAGCCAGUCAAGAUUUUUUAACAGGACAGGACUGUCUAACAGGAUUGUCUAAUAGGACAUAAAAUACACUAACUAUAAAGGAAAGUAUUGAUAAAUUGGAUUACAUAAUGAUUGAGAACCUUCUUUUAUCAAAAGACAUUAAAAGUGGGAGAAGAUACUCUAAGAUAGAACAUCCAUGGACUCAUAUCCUGAAUACAUACUACAAAUCAAUAAAAUAUACACAAACAGAUAAAUGGGGCAAGAGAUUCGAAUAGUUACUUCACAAAAGAGAACAUUCAAAUAAUAUUGAAAAGGUGCUCAACCUCUUUAGUCAUCAGGGAAAUGCAAAUUGAAAAAAAUAAAUACUGGCUAGGUGAGGCGACUCACAUCUGUAAUCCCAGCACCUUGGGAGGCUGAGAUGGACAGAUCACUUGAGGCCAGGAGUUUGAGACCAGCCUGGCCAGCAUGGCAAAACCCUGUCUUUACUCAAAGCACAAAAGUUAGCCGGGCAUGUUGGCCCACGCCUGUGGUCCCAGCUACUUGGGAGGCUGAGGCAUGAGAAUCGCUUGAACCCAGGAGGAGGAGGAUGCAGUGAGCUGAGAAUGCACCACUGGACUCCAUCCUGGGCAACAGAACAAGACUUUACCUCCCAAAAAAAAGGUGGAGAGGGGAGGACUACUGCACUCUACCAGGAUAGCGAAAAUAAAAAUGACUUGACAAUACCAAGUUUUGGGAAAGAUAGAAGCUUGAACUGUCUGACACUACUGAAGGAGCAUACAUUGGUACAACUACUUUGGAAACCUAUUUGGCAGUAUCUGCCUGUGACCGUGAAAUUCCACUCUUUAUUUGGGAAUAUACCCUCCUAAAAUAAUGCGUAUGAGCAACAUGAAGACAUGUACAACAGUGCUCCUGGCAGCAGUAUUUGCAACAGACAAAAAUUGGAAACAACUGAAAGGUCAUCAACAGUGGAUGGAUACGCUGGGUGUGGUGGCUCAUGCCUGUAAUCCCAGCACUUUGGGAGGCCAAGGAGGGUGGAUCACCCGAAGUCAGGAGUUUAAGACCAGCCUGGCCAACAAGGAGAAACCUUGUCUCUACUAAAAAUACAAAAAUUAGCUGGGUGUGGUGGCGCACGCCUGUAAUCCCAGCUACUCAGGAGGCUGAGACAGAAUUACUUGACCCCUCAUCCUGGGGUUGGCCUUAUGCAUGUGCAGCUUAUGGCUCAGCACAUAUGCCAAAGACACGGUGCCAGCACUUUUUUUUUUUUUUUUGAGUUGGGGUCUCACUCUCACCCAGGCUGGAGUGCAGUGGUGCAAUUGCUCCUGAGCAUAAGUGAUUCUUCCACCUCAGCCUCCCGAGUAGCUAGGACUACAGGUGUGGGCCACCACGCCCAGCUAAUUUUUGUAUUUUUUGUAGGGAUGGGGUCUUCCUAUGCUGUCCAGGUUGGUCUCAAACUCCUGGGCUCAAGCGAUUUUCCCUCUACGGCCUCCCAAAGUGCUAGGAUUACAGGUGUGAGCCACCUGCACACUUACACACCCAUUCCUAGCUGCAGCUUCAGAAACUUCUGACCCAGGAAGUCAGCCCAAACCCCCUCACUGUCCCCCAAAAUUUGAGUUCUUCUCAACUCUACCCAAACACUCCCCUUUCUUGGGGUGGCUUAAUGCUCUGUCUCAUUGCCCUUCCUACUGCCUACCCACAUAUCACAUCUACCAACCUUCCACGCAGCCAUAGACGUGUUCUAUCAAAGACAGUUCCCUCCCCAAGAGGACUUCUCUGACUAAUCAUAAUCUGCCUUUGGUUGUAAUUUUGUGUUGUGAGGCCACCACAAGGGUGUUUGCUGAAGAGGUCCUGGAGUCCCCUCAGAGCACGCUUGCUACCAGGAGUCAGCAUGUAUGUAACUUCAUCAGCUGGGGCUUCUGCUUCUCUUACAAACAGGUGCCAGGGCCCACCUUGGGCACUCCUGCAGAAGUGAGCAGAGGCUUCUGCCAUGGGGCCAUACCUUGUUUGACCUAGGUGCCAGCACUGGGACAGAUGGCACAGCACAGUCCUGCCGUUCCCACAGGGUUUGUGUGUGCAUCAUGACAGGAAACACAGCAAGUCACAAAGGCUGUCCGAUGUCCCUGCCUCAGCUUCCUGAGGACCUGUGCUUUUUACUGAAAUACACUAUCUCAUAAGAAUACUUCCCUGCCUUCCGCACCCCAGUGAGAAAGGAGUUGUGACUGGAAGUCAGUGUCAUUGACUUUGGAUAUGAAAAGGAGGCAGAAUGUCUCCAGGGUUAAAAGUAGUAACCAGGCCAGGCGUGGUGGCUUAUGCGUGUAAUCCCAGCAUUUUGGGAGGCGGAGGUGAGUGGGUCACCUGAGGUCAGGAGUUCAAGACCAGCCGGGCCAACAUGGCGAAAUCCCAUCUGUACUGAAAAUACAGGAAUUAGCCGGGUGUGGUGGCAGGCGCCUGUAAUACCAGCUACUGGGGAGGCUGAGGCAGGAAGAAUUGCUUGAACCCAGGAGGUUAAGGGUUGCAGUGAGCCAAGAUCACACCACUGCACUCCAGCCUGGGUGACAGAACACGAUUCCAUCUGAAAAAAAAAAAAAAAAAAAAAAGCGGGGGCUGGGCGCGGUGGCUCACACCUGUAAUCCCAGCACUUUGGGAGCCUGAGACAGGUGGAUCGUCUGAGAUCAGGAGUUCGAGACCAGCCUGACCAACAUGGUGAAACCCCGUCUCUACUAAAAAUACAAAAAUUAGCUGGAUGUGGUGGUGGGCACCUGUAAUCCCAGCUAUUCGGGAAGCUGAGGCAGAGGAAUCAUCGCUUGAACCUGGGAGGUAGAGGUUGCAGUGAGCCGAGAUCACACCAUUGCAUUCCAGCCUGGGUGACAAGAGCAAAACUCCGUCUCAAAAAGAAAAAAAAAAAAAGUUAGUAACCAGGUUGUGUCCCACAGAGCUUUACUGGGGGCCAAACACUGUCAACCCCUCCUCAGGUCCCAGUGAGUUUGUGCACCUGGCCUUCUGACAGUAAGCGGUGAGCAGGGCAUCCCCCACCAGGACCCCAUACUUUCCUCCCAUGGGUUUCCUAUGGAAUGUUGCUGCUUCAACUUCUGAGAGCCUCUUGCUGGGGGGCCCCAUCCCUAGCCCUUGCCUCCCUGUGCUGCUUUACCUUCUUUUUGGGAGGAUAACUGCCCUCUGUUUUCAGCACCCCAAUAAGAAAGAAAAAGUCAUGACCAGAAGUCAGUGUCAGUGAUUGCUGAUGUGUGGAAACAUCUGAUGAAUGAAGAGUUUGGGUAAAAAAUAAAGGGAACUGAUGAAAACCACUUGUGUGUGAAGCCUAUAUAGUGGUGUGUGCCUGUAGUCCCAGCUACUCGGGAAGCUGAAGUGGGAGGACUGCUUGAGCACAGGAGUUGGACAUCAGCCUUGAAAAGAUAGUGAGACUCAAUCUAGAAAACAGAAACAACACUUCUGACUGGUGUCUGCCUGUGGGUUUCUGACUCUGCUCCCAAACUUAUGGUGAGAACUUCUUUGCUAACUUGAGAGUCUGCAAGAGUGAAGUUUUUGCCAAAUUUUGGCCCUUAGUUCCUCUAAAACACUAAUGGAAACGUAACCCCAUGCUUGUUAAGACCCUCCUUCUGCCCUACCAUGAUUACCAGAUCUCUGCUGAGGUUGCAAGAUGAGGUGAUCUUGCUGGAAACAAGGACAAAUGGGGGAAGAAAAUAGGGCUGGACAGGCCCAAGCAUUCAGAGGCCAGGGCUGGGGGUAGGUAGGGGCCUGCUUCAUUUGAGAACAACUAUGAAGGACAAUAGGGUUUCAACAGGGGAGAGAGUAGCGGUAUUCAAAGCAAAGCAAAAGAUGUAAGUGAAAGAUGUAAGCGGGCCGGUGCGAUGGGUCACGCCUAUAAUCCCCGUACUUUGGGAGGCCAAGGCAGGAGGAUCACCGGAACUGAGGUGUUUGAGACCUGCUUGAGCAACAUAGUAGGACCCUGUCUCUACCAAAAAAAAAAAAAAAAAUUAAAUUAGCUGGGCAUGGUGGCUACUGUAGUUUCAGCUACUCAGGAGGCUGAGGCAGGAGGAUCACUUGAGCCUGGGAGGUCAAGGCUACAGUGAGCCUGGGUAACAGAGUGAGACUGUCUCAAAAAAAAAAAAAAGGAGAAAAAGAAAGAUGUAAGUGUGUAAGUGAAGCCUGGAGAUGCAGACACCUGCGAAUGGGCUGCUGAGGGGCACUUGGCUAUGGCUGGGGCUCAGGAAAAGUGGAGCUCAGGGAAGAGAGGCUAGAACAGGGCUCAAAGGGCCUUGAAGGCCAGGCCUGUCAGGGUCCAUCACCUCCUCAGGCUGGAGAAGUCAGUGCAAGCUGCAGUGAUGGGGUCCUGAGGCCCCAGUACUUCUGCCCAUCCUCUCCCACUGUCUCCCAAGAUCAUACAGGGAAGCCUGUUUCCAGAUGCCUGUGAUUUAUUUCCAAAGGAGAGCUACAGCACAUAGGAAAAUACACAUGGCUUUUCAGUCUACAUUUUUACAGAGAAAAGAGAUUCG